RNAcentral lists this ribosomal RNA (253 nucleotides) under uncultured prokaryote. RNAcentral describes it as "partial 16S ribosomal RNA". It matches the Rfam family "Bacterial small subunit ribosomal RNA", at positions 524 to 776 of the family's 1533-position model. The record is from RNAcentral.
UACGUAGGGUGCGAGCGUUGUCCGGAAUUGUUGGGCGUAAAGAGCUCGUAGGCGGUUUGUUGCGUCGGCCGUGAAAACCUGCAGCUUAACUGUGGGCCUGCGGCCGAUACGGGCAGGCUAGAGUUCGGUAGGGGAGACUGGAAUUCCUGGUGUAGCGGUGAAAUGCGCAGAUAUCAGGAGGAACACCGAUGGCGAAGGCAGGUCUCUGGGCCGAUACUGACGCUGAGGAGCGAAAGCGUGGGGAGCGAACAGG